This 747-nucleotide ribosomal RNA is filed under the name Listeria monocytogenes. Its description in RNAcentral is "bacterial SSU rRNA". It matches the Rfam family "Bacterial small subunit ribosomal RNA", at positions 1 to 729 of the family's 1533-position model. The record is from RNAcentral. Lineage: Bacteria; Bacillati; Bacillota; Bacilli; Caryophanales; Listeriaceae.
UUUAAAGAGAGUUUGAUCCUGGCUCAGGACGAACGCUGGCGGCGUGCCUAAUACAUGCAAGUCGAACGAACGGAGGAAGAGCUUGCUCUUCCAAAGUUAGUGGCGGACGGGUGAGUAACACGUGGGCAACCUGCCUGUAAGUUGGGGAUAACUCCGGGAAACCGGGGCUAAUACCGAAUGAUAAAGUUUGGCGCAUGCCACGCUUUUGAAAGAUGGUUUCGGCUAUCGCUUACAGAUGGGCCCGCGGUGCAUUAGCUAGUUGGUAGGGUAAUGGCCUACCAAGGCAACGAUGCAUAGCCGACCUGAGAGGGUGAUCGGCCACACUGGGACUGAGACACGGCCCAGACUCCUACGGGAGGCAGCAGUAGGGAAUCUUCCGCAAUGGACGAAAGUCUGACGGAGCAACGCCGCGUGUAUGAAGAAGGUUUUCGGAUCGUAAAGUACUGUUGUUAGAGAAGAACAAGGAUAAGAGUAACUGCUUGUCCCUUGACGGUAUCUAACCAGAAAGCCACGGCUAACUACGUGCCAGCAGCCGCGGUAAUACGUAGGUGGCAAGCGUUGUCCGGAUUUAUUGGGCGUAAAGCGCGCGCAGGCGGUCUUUUAAGUCUGAUGUGAAAGCCCCCGGCUUAACCGGGGAGGGUCAUUGGAAACUGGAAGACUGGAGUGCAGAAGAGGAGAGUGGAAUUCCACGUGUAGCGGUGAAAUGCGUAGAUAUGUGGAGGAACACCAGUGGCGAAGGCGACUCUC